GCCCUUACAAAAUGAUUGGUGGACGUCGUAUACCACCAAAUAAUUCCUGCAAUUCUACCAAGAAUUAAAUGAGUAUAGUAAUAAGCAGGGUCGAACCGAAGAAAACGGAGUAAUAACUUCAAAUUCCUAAAGAUCUAAAUCGGUGUAGCCACCACGCCUUAAAUUGAGCGAUAAUACUAAUCAACUACGAAAGCAAAUAAAUUAACAAAACUAGCAAAUAGAAUUUAAUCAAAGAAAUGUAACUCGGCUCGAAUAAAUCCAUACUAAUUUAAUAACUCUGAUCAUCGACGCAAAUAUAAAUUAAUCUCUAUCAACCAACCAGUUAAAGGAUACCGUGAACGCAACGGACGUACCCCAAUUCCUACUUACUUUGUCGAUAGACAGCUGUAGACGCCAGACCUGCCUAUUUCCCUUAUUAAAACAUAACCUAGCUGUAGACGCCAGACCUAGAUUUAAUGUUUCAAUAGCAUUAAGAUGAAGGAAUCCAAUUUAGACAAAUUACCCAAGAACGCAAGUAAUAAUUCGUCUACCCAUUUAUUCCUACUACGAAUAUUGUAGCUUUAUUACUAAUUAGCCAUAUUCCAACAAUUAUGGAUUUGAGGAAUCAAUUGACUUUAAUCCAAUUAAAUCUAAGUUGAUCAGACUUAAAUUAAAUCAGAAUUGACCUUAAACACAAGGAAUAAUUAAAUUGAAAUCAAUAUGACUCAAUUAUAUGAACAAUUAGGUCUCACAUAUAUUAAAUCAGUAUUUCAUUAUUCACAAUUAAACUAAAAAUAAUCAAAUUAAAUAAAUAAAACAUAAUAAAGAAAAAUCUACUGAAUUGAAAUAAAUAAAAUUCUAUCACCAGAAUUCCAAAACGUUAAUUGUGGCUCGAUGCAAAACUCUAAGUACGUACGCUUCCAAUUGCUAAAUAAGAAAAUUUGUAAAAGCUAUCAACUAAAUUCCUACGCCGCGAAUCCCCUUUGCUCUAAUGCCAAAAGAUGGCUCAGCCGCCAAAGUCCUAUUACACCAUCCAAAGCCCCCCCCUUUUCUCCAAGGUCAAAUUGCUUUUAUAAAUCCCAACUUCCGCCACAUUAAUUAAUGGGCCGAAACUAAUUAACUAAAGCCCAUUUUCUAAAGUUAAAAUUAUGGCAGAUCCUUAUGAGGAUUAGUAAUUACGUGCGUCUUUUGGAUCUUCACAAAUUGAUAUUAAAAUCCCAUCUUUUUCAUCCUUCUUUCAUUCGACCUCAUCGUCAUCAAAUUCUUCAAUUCCUGCACAAAAAUUCUUUCAUUCGACCUCAUCGCCAUCAAAUUCUUCAAUUCCUGCACAAAAAUUCAUUUAAUUGUGUAUAUUAAAUUCGCACAAAAUAAUUCAAGAAUAUGAACAACUAAAAUACACACAUCAAUGAUCCUUUCUCUAUCUAAUUCAAGAUAUAGGGAUCUAAAAAAUAUUCUCUCCGUCUCGUAAAAGAGUAUCACUUGUGGUUGUGAGAUAACACGAGUUUUAAGAAAUGUUUGGUUGAUAAUAUGUUGAGUGGAGAAAAUGGAUCCACUACUUUUUUAAGAAAAUGAUGAUGUGUGUGGUAGAUAAUGUGUGGAUUCAUGUCCCAAAAGGAAAACGAUAAUUUCUUAUGGGAUGGAUAAAAAUGGAAAAGUUGAUAUUUUUUUAUCGGACAGAGGGAGUAUAUUACAUCCCAUAGUCUCCAC
Molecule: long non-coding RNA, 1686 nt
Filed under: Salvia miltiorrhiza (redroot sage)
Lineage: Eukaryota; Viridiplantae; Streptophyta; Magnoliopsida; Lamiales; Lamiaceae
Description: long non-coding RNA (SMIL_LNC005363)
Source: RNAcentral